This 308-nucleotide ribosomal RNA is filed under the name Oxyrrhis marina. RNAcentral describes it as "partial Eukaryotic large subunit ribosomal RNA". It matches the Rfam family "Eukaryotic large subunit ribosomal RNA", at positions 648 to 967 of the family's 3401-position model. Lineage: Eukaryota; Dinophyceae; Oxyrrhinales; Oxyrrhinaceae. The record is from RNAcentral.
CCCGUCUUGUAACACGGACCAAGGAGUCUAUCCAGUAUGCGAGUGUUAGGGUGGAAAAACCCGAACGCAUAAGGAAACUGAGGAUAAGCUGUUAACAGCAGCAGCCGAACCUGCAUCUUUGAUAACGGUAUCGAGCAAGAGCAUAUUUGAUAGGACCCGAAAGAUGGUGAACUUCGCUUGAGUAGGGUGAAGCCAGGGGAAACUCUGGUGAAAGCUCGAAGCGGUACUGACGUGCAAAUCGUUCGUCAAACUUGAGUGAAGGGGCGAAAGACUAAUCGAACCAUCUAGUAGCUGGUUCCCUCCGAAAU